Molecule: long non-coding RNA, 227 nt
Filed under: Phasianus colchicus (ring-necked pheasant)
Lineage: Eukaryota; Metazoa; Chordata; Aves; Galliformes; Phasianidae
Description: lncRNA (ENSPCLG00000001891.1)
Source: RNAcentral
AUGGAAAGCUGUUGGGAAGAUUUCUUAUAUUUAAGGUGUUAAAAUUACUUUUCUGUCUUAUUUAGCAAGCCUGCAUAGACUGAAUAGGAGCCAAAGCAGCAGCCUGCCGAAGAAAAAGUCUGAAGGAACCAGAUGUUGACCCUGAAAAAAAGAAGGGUAUUGUACAGAAUAAGAGAAAGAGAUAUAUAGUAAUAUCCUUCCAAAAUCUGCCUCUCUUCCCAGACUAC